UCAUUUUAGCGCAUUUUCACCCGCGGAACGGAGAGCUCAUGGUUGGUUUUGAGGCUAAUAAUUCUAUCUAUGCUGCAAACAUUUAUGACGUUCAAAUUGUACAUAAAUGUCCGAGCAAAAAUACAAAUAUAAGCCCAUGAAAUAUAUUCUGCCCUAACGAAUCGGAAUCACUCGAUCCUAAAAUUUCGGUUUUUUUUCUCGCUUACUCUUUGUCUGAUUUUCUGGUAGGGAGAACAACGAAAAAUAUUCGUUGAGAUAGAGACUUGUAUCAAGUGUUCUUAAGUGAAAAGUUUUCAAAUCCACCAAAUCAAUAUGAAAGUCAAAUAAUACAUAUGGUAUUUGAGGAUCUGAAAACUCUGGACCAUUUGACCCGGCGGCUAUUCGCACUCGUUUAUUCGCCCAACGAACUAGAUAUCCCACGGAUAGUUGGCUUUGUGGCUAAUGAUUGCUCCUAUCCGCCGUGGCAUAUGUCUUUCGAAUUGUACAUAAGCCACAGCACAUAGGAUAAACCAAAAGCCCUCUCUGGCAGGUUUGCAGACUCACUAAAAUCAGAAAGGGAUAUGGGAUAUAUACGUAUAUAUCCCAUGGAAGAAUGAAAAAGGUUUCAGUUAUCGCAAGAAAUAUUCAUAUUAUAGGAGUGGAAACGCACCAAGGAGUUGUUUGAUCAGAAUUAAAUAUAUAUGUAGAUAUGGCAUAUAGUCGAGAUAUGGGCAAAAUGUCGGGUGUGGUGGGUUCGGGCGCGUUAUUAUAUACCAACGAGGAUUACAGAUCAUUUUAGCGCACUUUCACCCGCGGAACGGAGAGCUCAUGGUUGGUUUUGGGGCUAAUAAUUCUAUUUAUGCUGCAACCAUCUAUGACGUUCAAAUUGUACAUAAAUGUCCGAGCAAAAAUACAAAUAUAAGCCCAUGAAAUAUAUUCUGCCCUAACGAAUCGGAAUCACUCGAUCCUAAAAUUUCGGUUUUUUUUUUCUCGCUUACUCUUUGUCUGAUUUUCUGGUAGGGAGAACAACGAAAAAUAUUCGUUGAUUGAUACUUGUAUCGAGUAUUCUAGCUUUAAGAUAUAAACAAAACCUAAGAACUGGGACACUUUAUAAGGUCCAAAGUUGUCCUGAGCUCCAUUAAUCCGAAAAGAAUAUCCACUCUCGGAACGGAUGUCUUAUAGAUGGUUUGGUGGUAAAUAAUUUACCUGUUGCUCAGUUCUAUAUAGUAUAAAUAAACAAAGCAUAUAGAGCCGAGAGCCAGGAAAGCUAUAGACCAUUUGUAUAGACCAAUUGAUUGUUGAUGGAGGAGUCAGGGAAUGUCAUAUUUAUCAAUGCAUAGAUCUUAAAUCUGUGCAGGGGAAUCUGUAAAAACGAUUGAUAUUAUGAGAGUGGAAUGAGAGUUCGUCAAAUUAAAUCGAUUCUCCCAUUAUCAGCAUCAUCAUUAAUUCCUGGGAAGGGUAGGUGCGAAAUUGAGAACAAAACAAAGCUUGUAAUCAUAAUCGGAAAUGCUCCUCCACUCCACCUGCAGCUCCUUCGCGUUUGGUGUGGAAUCGGAUCGGGGUUAGAUCGCUGCCUGAUAUCGCCUGAUAGGCGGCCGAUCAGUCGAUUAUGUGAGCACACGGUUAACGAUGAACGGUGAACGGUGAACGGUUGACGGUUAACAGUUAGCAGCUCGAACUAAUCGCAGCUCGGAACUUUUGUUUGUUUUCGCAGCGCGUUGACAACACAUCCAGCAGCAAUCCACUAUCUUUGGGUCCGCCGGCCGCACGUUUAAUCGCCUUUUAAAUCAUUUACGAGGCAAAUUAGCACUUGAACCUUAUACAACUCGAAAUCCAUCCGAAAGCGAACCCAUUAAACAUCAAGCAUCAAGCACCAAACACCAAACAAUAAAUUAUCUUCCUCUGAGGCUGGAAUGCUGCAAAAAAACAACAUGACUCUCAAGAACCUUGUUGUCAGGGGCCGCGACGGCGAAAUAUGUACAUGUGAUGCGAUGGAACAGCCCCAGACCAUGAUCGAAGCGCCACCAUCUUCAACGGUGGAGGACGUCGUACAUAUAGUUUACCAUCCCUUCUAAAGACAUUAAACUUUCAAAAAUUGGGACCUUUGUGAAUAUGCUCUGUGGCGCAUUUUAACACCUUGUAGAUUCAAUACCAAAGCGUUGCUCCACUGUUCUUAAGCAGAGAGGUCAUCGCACUCAAUAUUAAAGUAAAUUUAUUAAAAAUACGACGAAUACUGCUCAGCUUUUAACUUUUUUAAGUGGCUUAAGUAUAUGAGCAUGACAUUUUGGAGAUGGUUUCAGAUUUUUAAAAUAUUUCCCUGAAUAUAUAUUUUCAUAACUUGGUUAUUGUUGUACUAGAACGCACACUAGCUUAAGUCUAUGAGCCCCACUGUAUACAUAUGUAUCUCUGAAGUGUCAUAUAUUCUAUUCUGGACACAAGUGCGCACUUAUUUGGUCUCUGAAGCACUUGAAAAUAUCGAACAACGACAGAUCGUAGGACACCUAUGUAGAUAUACUCGUAUGUAUAUUAUUUUUGGAUGAAAAUGGCAGAAUGGUACAUAAAAAACACGCCGAGUAUAUCCCUCCACCAGGCAUCCCAGUCUUAAGAUAUCGAACCACUUUAAAUAUUGGAAUACCCGACGAACGUGCGAGCUUCAAUGAAUAGGCAUACAUACAUAUAUGUCUUGGGGUUGGGAUGUAUAUGUGGUGAAAAGUUUUCAAAUCCACCAAAUCAAUAUGAAAGUCAAAUAAUACAUAUGGUAUUUGAGGAUCUGAAAA
Molecule: small RNA, 2756 nt
Filed under: Drosophila pseudoobscura pseudoobscura
Lineage: Eukaryota; Metazoa; Arthropoda; Insecta; Diptera; Drosophilidae
Description: GA32885
Source: RNAcentral